AAGUACCUAGAAGAUGGUCAAAUAUAAAACCGACUAAUGGUGAAUAUAGGGAAUCUAAUUAGCAGUGGUGUUGAAAACUAGCUAGCCUAGGCUCCUAAAGCUGUCUAUGUGAUGCCCACCUUGCGUGCGCGCGGGUUUUUAUCACUGCGGCUGUCUUCUAGGUUUUAU
RNAcentral lists this non-coding RNA (168 nucleotides) under Clostridiaceae bacterium. RNAcentral's name for it is "6S RNA". It matches the Rfam family "6S / SsrS RNA". From Rfam's summary of the family: E. coli 6S RNA was the first non coding RNA to be sequenced, but its function was unknown until recently. It consists of 184 nucleotides that fold into an extended hairpin structure with a large single-stranded internal bulge. The record is from RNAcentral. RNAcentral also lists the same sequence under 1 other name. Lineage: Bacteria; Bacillati; Bacillota; Clostridia; Eubacteriales; Clostridiaceae.